Alligator mississippiensis (American alligator) is the source of this 2870-nucleotide long non-coding RNA. RefSeq lists it as uncharacterized. NCBI's taxonomy places the organism in Eukaryota, Metazoa, Chordata, Crocodylia, Alligatoridae. The transcript has 6 exons. The record is from RefSeq and is a predicted model, not a curated record.
AGAAAAAGCUCUGUGUUAUUAUCAGGCAUUAUAAAAAGUUUUAAUCAGAGGGCGGGGAUUGGGGGAGGUGGAUGGAUGAUAGGGGUAUGAAAAGGAGGAAACCUGUUUGAAAAGGAAGUUCAUUAUUAGGUGGAGGUUUGUCCGGGAAAAACAUCCAGGAGCUGGAACUGAAGAUAAAUCCACCCACUUUGUCACCUUUCUGCCUCCCCAGUGUGUAUUAAAUCCAUGGAUCUCUUCUGUAGAAGGCAGAAGCAGAGCUCUUCCCUCUUACAGCAUGGGGUUUGUCUAUGUGGAAGUGGAUCAGAAUGUUGAGACCUAAAUUAGGAGACUUCCAGACUACAGUUGGAUGAAAAAUCCAUUUUUCAUUUUGGUGGCUGAACUAAAAAAGUGCAGGAAGAAUUUUGUGUGAAAUAGAUGCUUUUUUCUUUCUUCUUUUUUUGGCAAAACAAACAAAAAGCCUUGAAAAUUUCAGUUUGAUUCAAAAUGAAACUGUUGUUUGACAUGGUUAGAGGUUAUUUAACUCUUUAAAAACCCUUUUUUUCUUCCUUUUUUAUAAGAAGGGAUGAUUUUUAAAAUACAAAUUACCAUUCCAGAACUAAAAGUCAAAAUGAAAUGUUUUGACACAUUCAACAAUUUUCCACUAUUUUAUUUAUUUAAUAAUGAAACUAUCUGCCAGUCAUUGUAGUCCCUCUGGUCCCCCUUUAAAACCCCAUAGUUUGAGUGAUUUUAUUGUUCACUGAAAACAUUUCCCUCCGCCCUUUCAAAGCACGUACAAUUAGUACUUGUUGCUAGUCAAUGCACAAGGUAUACUGAACAAAAUCCAGGUAAAUAUUGCCUUUGUUUUUGUUUUUCCCCACUACCUGCCUCUCUGCUUGGGGACAAGACAGAGUGCAGGAACAGAGAGCACAUUUGAUUCAUGGCACAGUGUUAAUUAUCAUUAAUUUCCUGUACAUUCUUGAGUGCAAACAUGUUUACUGAGCCAUUCCUAAUGAUACAGAUCAUUCCCAACUCACUUGUCACUGGUCUAUUUGAAUAACUACAGAAGCAAUGAAGACACUCCUCUGAUAGUCAGGGAAACCCCCUAGCUUUCCUUCCCUCUUAUUCAGGGGGAUUUCCCAAGCUACUUAGAGAAAAACAAAGAUAAAUGUGUCUUUAAGCAUGACAGAUGUCUCCAGUUUCUCCCCUGUGCUUAAAAACUUAAAUUGUUUGCUAUAAAUAGAGUUGUUGAAAGGAUAAAGGAAAGGGUAAGCAGGCUGAAAGCAGUGAAAAAAUAGCCUUAUUGUGAGUGGUAUCUUUAAUAUAAAAACAUCCACAACACAUCAAUGUUAAUUGUACAUCAGAGAGUGUAGAGCAUAAAUGAAAGGGAAGAAAUUGCUUUCAGGUUUGUAUCUCUACACUCAGUUGGGGCCAAAGUGGGGAAAGGAAGAUAAGAGACAGAGGCCAAGAGGGGAAAUGUUUUAAGAUGAAAUCAUUACUGAUGAGUGUAAGCCUCAGAGAGUAAUCUGUUUAUGUGGUGGUGAAGUAGGCAUUAGCUGAAGGGGUUAAGUCCUUUUAGCUGUACAAGCUAACAUAACAACAUAGCCUCUCUAUGCUAGUAGCUUUAGGUGUUAGGAAUGUAAGAUGCCUCGAACCAUCCCAACACUGUGUCUCUUUUGAAGGCAGUUGUGGGGCAGUGGGGAUCGCUCCCCUGCUGGGCAGGAAUCGAUAUGACACAAGAUGGCAUUGACAGACAGAAGAAAAUGUAAUGUCAAGACCGGAAUGAAAAAUAAAGCUGUAAGCUCUCUUGGUUGGUCCAGACUGAUUUCUGACGUGAAGGUUUCCUGGCAUGGCUCCUCUCAAGAUCUGUUUUCUGGGAUUUUGAUUGUCACAUGAGUGGAAUGUAUUCAACAGAUGAAUUUUCUUCCAGACUAUGCUGUAAAUCUGUAAACUGCUGGAAUGGUUAUCUCAUCUCUGUUCUGCCCAUUUUGCUCUACAAGGAAGCUGGCUGCACCAUUGAAGAGAGGCUGGGAAGACCCCCUGAGUCACCAGACACAGUAAUACAGCUUGAGAUUAUCUCUACAGAAAGCAGUGGAGAAAUGCCAAAGUAAAGCUUCAGUGAGUGACAGGAAAAUCAGAUCUACGACUAAACCUGAAAGAUACACUCAGGGCAUGUCUACACUGUCAAAAGCCCAUGCAAAGGAGUGUUGUGGAGAAACAUAGCACACUGGCUCCAUGUGGCCAAAAUGGGACCUCUAAGUGCAAUUUACCUGGUCCUGAGAGUGAGUUUAUCUGCAUGCAGUGGGUGCUGCCACAAGGGACAACAUGACAUCUAUUUGGAGUGCUAUAUACACAGACAGAAGGCAUGGAAUGCUUCACUGUAGUGCUCUUACUGGCAGGGCUGGCCCAUCCAUGCCUGAGAAAGCUGCGGCCUCAGGGGACCCUGCAUCCAAGGGGCCCCAUGCAGCCAGCAUCCUCCCUAACUGGGAUGAAAGCUGCAGUUUUAAAUUCUGCCUCCAUUUUUGGCACCAAGUUUAAAACUGUGUCUUUUACAUUUGCUUCCCUGGUAGCUGGAAGCAGGAUCCCUACUCCACCAAUGGGCCUGGGGGAGGGAGGCAGGGCAGAGGUCUUGCCUGAAGAGCUGCACCUGUGGGCCAGGUGGUGCCUCUCCUGUGGGGGAGGGGAGAGCCCUGCCUUAUCUGCUCACUGCUGGGCCCAGCCCAGCCUGACCCCUGCAUCUGUGGGGCUGCUUGGGGCAGUCGGGCAGCUGCUCCCUGCAUGUGAGUGUGACGGUUGGUGGAGUGAGACUGAACUGCGGGCGGCUGCAGGGGGAUGGGGCGGAGAGAGGGCAGAGGGCUGUCUCUGGUGUGUGUGUGUGUGUGUGUGUGUGAUUA